This 442-nucleotide ribosomal RNA is filed under the name uncultured Synergistaceae bacterium. RNAcentral's name for it is "bacterial SSU rRNA". It matches the Rfam family "Bacterial small subunit ribosomal RNA", at positions 948 to 1382 of the family's 1533-position model. The record is from RNAcentral. Lineage: Bacteria; Thermotogati; Synergistota; Synergistia; Synergistales; Synergistaceae.
AAUUCGAUGCAAACCGAAGAACCUUACCUGGGUUGUACAUGUACGUGUUACUGAUCUGAGAGGAGAGGGACCCAUGCCUUCGGUAUGGGAGCGUACACAGGUGCUGCAUAGCUGUCGUCAGCUCGUGUCGUGAGAUGUUGGGUUAAGUCCCGCAACGAGCGCAACCCUGCAUCAGUUGCCAUCGGUGAGGCCGGGCACUCUGGAUGGACUGCCGGCGACAAGCCGGAGGAAGGUGGGGAUGACGUCAAGUCAUCAUGGCCCUUACGGCCUGGGCUACACACGUGCUACAAUGGUCGGUACAAAGGGUUGCCAAGCCGCGAGGUGGAGCUAAUCCCAUAAAACCGAUCGUAGUCCGGAUCGCAGUCUGCAACUCGACUGCGUGAAGUCGGAAUCGCUAGUAAUCGUGAAUCAGAAUGUCACGGUGAAUACGUUCCCGGGCCUU